AUUGAACGCUGGCGGCAGGCCUAACACAUGCAAGUCGAGCGGAUGAAGGGAGCUUGCUCCUGGAUUCAGCGGCGGACGGGUGAGUAAUGCCUAGGAAUCUGCCUGGUAGUGGGGGAUAACGUCCGGAAACGGGCGCUAAUACCGCAUACGGCCUGAGGGUGAAAGUGGGGGAUCUUCGGACCUCACGCUAUCAGAUGAGCCUGGGUCGGAUUAGCUAGUUGGUGGGGGAAAGGCCUAGCAAGGCGACGAUCCGUAACUGGUCUGAGAGGAUGAUCAGUCACACUGGAAGUGAGACGCGAGUCAGGCUCCUCCGCGCGGCACCGGUGGCGAAGGGUGGCCAAUGGGGGAAAGCUUGCUCCAGCCGUGCCGCGUGUGUGGAGAAGCUCUUCGUGGUGUAAAGCACCCUUCGUGGGGUGGACUGGCAGUGCUAGGGGACCUGCCUGUUUUGACGGUACCAAGAUAAUAAGCACCGGCUAACUUCGUG
RNAcentral lists this ribosomal RNA (484 nucleotides) under uncultured bacterium. RNAcentral's name for it is "partial 16S ribosomal RNA". It matches the Rfam family "Bacterial small subunit ribosomal RNA", at positions 28 to 507 of the family's 1533-position model. The record is from RNAcentral.